CACUUGCCUUUUUCUCUUGUUCUUAGGCCUGUUUGGGUCAAGGGUGGCUAUAUAAGUACGAUAAUUCUUUUUUCAAUGAUCCAGCUUCUUACAGAAGAAGCACUCUGCCUGGCUCUUAUCAACUUUUGACGGUUUGCUCUGCUUGAGAUCGACGGCAUGAGAUUUUUGCACCUUUUUCUUCUUUCCUCUCCUAGAGGAUCGAUGCCCUGUAGAUGAACCUCUCACUAAAUUCAUUGGCUCUUUUUGGAGCUGGUGAUCCUUCUCAAAAAUCUAUAAUAACCCUAGCAAACCAUCGUAGUUUACUACAGACUUCAUCAUUCUAUAAUGACUGAGGAAGGGU
This 340-nucleotide long non-coding RNA is filed under the name Elaeis guineensis (African oil palm). RNAcentral's name for it is "long non-coding RNA (EGUI_LNC079702)". Lineage: Eukaryota; Viridiplantae; Streptophyta; Magnoliopsida; Arecales; Arecaceae. The record is from RNAcentral.